RNAcentral lists this transfer RNA (89 nucleotides) under Sulfurovum sp. RNAcentral's name for it is "tRNA-Ser". It matches the Rfam family "tRNA". Rfam says of the family: Transfer RNA (tRNA) molecules are approximately 80 nucleotides in length. Their secondary structure includes four short double-helical elements and three loops (D, anti-codon, and T loops). Lineage: Bacteria; Pseudomonadati; Campylobacterota; Epsilonproteobacteria; Campylobacterales; Sulfurovaceae. The record is from RNAcentral. RNAcentral also lists the same sequence under 7 other names.
GGAUCUUUGGCAGAGUUGGUCGAAUGCACCGGUCUUGAAAACCGGCGAGGGUUACACCUCCCAGAGUUCGAAUCUCUGAGGGUCCACCA